This 497-nucleotide ribosomal RNA is filed under the name uncultured bacterium. Its description in RNAcentral is "partial 16S ribosomal RNA". It matches the Rfam family "Bacterial small subunit ribosomal RNA", at positions 28 to 507 of the family's 1533-position model. The record is from RNAcentral.
GACGAACGCUGGCGGCGUGCCUAAUACAUGCAAGUUGAGCGCUGAAGGUUGGUACUUGUACCAACUGGAUGAGCAGCGAACGGGUGGGUAACGCGUGGGGAAUCUGCCUUUGAGCGGGGGACAACAUUUGGAAACGAAUGCUAAUACCGCAUAAAAACUUUAAACACAAGUUUUAAGUUUGAAAGAUGCAAUUGCAUCACUCAAAGAUGAUCCCGCGUUGUAUUAGCUAGUUGGUGAGGUAAAGGCUCACCAAGGCGAUGAUACAUAGCCGACCUGAGAGGGUGAUCGGCCACAUUGGGACUGAGACACGGCCCAAACUCCUACGGGAGGCAGCAGUAGGGAAUCUUCGGCAAUGGACGAAAGUCUGACCGAGCAACGCCGCGUGAGUGAAGAAGGUUUUCGGAUCGUAAAACUCUGUUGGUAGAGAAGAACGUUGGUGAGAGUGGAAAGCUCAUCAAGUGACGGUAACUACCCAGAAAGGGACGGCUAACUACGCG